RNAcentral lists this ribosomal RNA (406 nucleotides) under uncultured bacterium. RNAcentral's name for it is "partial 16S ribosomal RNA". It matches the Rfam family "Bacterial small subunit ribosomal RNA", at positions 30 to 526 of the family's 1533-position model. The record is from RNAcentral.
AUUGAACGCUGGCGGCAGGCCUAACACAUGCAAGUCGAGCGAGCGGCGGACGGGUGAGUAAUGUCUGGGAAACUGCCCGAUGGAGGGGGAUAACUACUGGAAACAGUAGCUAAUACCGCAUACCAUCGGAUGUGCCCAGAUGGGAUUAGCUAGUAGGUGGGGUAACGGCUCACCUAGGCGACGAUCCCUAGCUGGUCUGAGAGGAUGACCAGCCACACUGGAACUGAGACACGGCCCAGACUCCUACGGGAGGCAGCAGUGGGGAAUAUUGCACAAUGGGCGCAAGCCUGAUGCAGCCAUGCCGCGUGUAUGAAGAAGGCCUUCGGGUUGUAAAGUACUUUCAGUGGGGAGGCGUUACCCGCAGAAGAAGCACCGGCUAACUCCGUGCCAGCAGCCGCGGUAAUAC